UCCUUAGCUACUCCCCGCUUCAUAAGUGUC
Molecule: non-coding RNA, 30 nt
Filed under: Homo sapiens (human)
Lineage: Eukaryota; Metazoa; Chordata; Mammalia; Primates; Hominidae
Source: RNAcentral